Molecule: non-coding RNA, 2182 nt
Organism: Leptonychotes weddellii (Weddell seal)
Lineage: Eukaryota; Metazoa; Chordata; Mammalia; Carnivora; Phocidae
Source: RefSeq, a predicted model, not a curated record
UUUGCGACAGGCCGCUGGGAGCCGGCCGCCGUCGCUGGCUCGGUUUCCGGCGGGGGCCCGGGGCCCCUGGCUGCCACCGCCGGCCUCUCUCGCUUCUCAUUGCGAACCCCGACUCCUGACCUCGGUGGCGGCUCGUCUGUGGCGAGAGAGCGGGGGCCGGCCCGGCUCUGGCCUGACCUGCGAGGUGACCUUGGUCGAGUCCCCUGUCGAGCGGGGCCCGUCUGUGGCGCGGGCCUGCCGGGGACCCAGUUCUCCAGCGGUUGAGGACACAAACCUAGAGCGGCCCCACAGGCUGCCCCGUGGCAGGGGAAGCGCCGGGCUGCCUGGGGGGAGCGGGGGAGCUCGGUCUGGGCGGCGGAGAUGCCCCUGCGUGUGAAAUGGCCGUUCCCCGCCGUGCCGCCGUUCACCUGGACUCUGGCCAGCAGCGUCGUCAUGGGCCUCGUGGGCACCUACAGCUGCUUCUGGACCAAGUACAUGAACCACCUCACCGUCCACAACAAGGAGGUGCUGUACGAGCUCAUCGAGAACCGAGGCCCAGCCACGCCCCUCAUCACUGUCUCCAAUCACCAGUCCUGCAUGGAUGACCCUCAUCUCUGGGGGAUCCUGAAACUCCGCCACAUCUGGAACCUGAAGUUGAUGCGUUGGACCCCUGCGGCUGCAGACAUCUGCUUCACCAAAGAGCUGCACUCCCGCUUUUUCAGCUUGGGCAAGUGUGUGCCUGUGUGCCGAGUACAAUAUUUUCUAGGCGGAGUACGAAAGGAAAGGCAUUCGAGACACAGGAACCACAUGCCAGGCACUGAAGAGAUUGUCUCCACAGGACUCCCAGUUGAAAGCCAGCACAUAGCAUUAGGCAUCUGUAUCUGUGUUGUUGCUAACUGCCAGGCCACCUGGGUCCAGUGUCAUGGCCUCCAGGUGUCUCCAAGGAGAUGGCGUCUACCAGAAGGGAAUGGACUUCAUUUUGGAAAAGCUCAACCACGGGGACUGGGUGCACAUCUUCCCAGAAGGUCAGUGGAGUUGGCAGGGUUGCACACCCCCCAGCUCCCGAGCCUUACCUCUGUCCUCUCUCUCAACAGGGAAAGUGAACAUGAGCUCUGAGUUCCUACGCUUUAAGUGGGGAAUCGGACGCCUCAUUGCCGAGUGUCAUCUCAACCCCGUCAUUCUGCCACUGUGGCAUGUCGGAAUGAAUGAUGUCCUUCCUAACAGCCCGCCCUACUUCCCCCGCUUUGGACAGAAAAUCACCGUGCUGAUCGGGAAGCCCUUCAGUGCUCUGCCUGUGCUCGAACGGCUCCGGGCAGAGAACAAGUCGGCUGUGGAGAUGCGCAAAGCUCUGACUGACUUCAUUCAGGAAGAAUUUCAGCGCCUGAAGAUCCAGGCGGAGCAGCUCCACAACCACCUGCAGCCCGGGAGAUAGGCGUCACCCCACCCAGAUCCUGCCCUCGCUUCCUCUUGGAAGGGGGCGGCUGGCCGCCAGGCCCAGGAAAGAGGCAGCUCCAACCCAAGCCCCAGGCGCCUGCUCUCAGUGCUGCCCUUGGGUUCUUGCCCGGCACAGCUGAACUGGGGGAUGGACUGAUGUUUUGAGGUCAGAUACAUUUUUUUAGACAGAUUUGUGCAUAACCCCUAAUGGGUAUCCUGUCCUAGUUGGUGAGCAUUCCCUCUGCUCUGAGCUUCUUCAGUUGAAGGAAGGGUUUCAGCUGCUCCUCCCACUUGGCCACGAAAGGACGAAGAAAUUUUGGCAGGGGCCUCCUUCUUUUCUUGCCUUCAGGUAUUCUCUUCCAGGGCUGGCAUCAGGAUGGAGGGUACUUGAAGGGGGGCAGGUGGCCAGGCCAGAACUUUGGGUAGGGGUCUGUGAGGCCCUUGGCCUGGCAUUCACCCACCUGCUCCAACCUGGGAGCUGCUCACCACCUCCUCAGGGAUGGCCAUCAGCCACCUCUUCCUUCUGCCCACACUUCCCACAGGCCUGGGGUCCUCAGGCAGGGCCCAACCCUGGGCUGCAAGCAGAAGAGCAGCCUUUUGCCACAAGUGGAACCCAGCUGAACGGAGCCUGCAGCAAGGGCCCGAGACCCUGUCACUUGCCCACGGGCCGGGGCUCACCAACUGCUCUGUCUUUUCCACCUCCCUGGCAUCACUUGAGUCCCAUGGGGCCUGGGUUUUCAUGUUUUGUAACCAGUAAAGCAUUUGUGUU